Triticum aestivum (bread wheat) is the source of this 124-nucleotide non-coding RNA. NCBI's taxonomy places the organism in Eukaryota, Viridiplantae, Streptophyta, Magnoliopsida, Poales, Poaceae. The record is from Rfam.
UAGGUACUCCCUCCGUCCGAAAAUACUUGUCCUCAAAAUGGAUAAAAUGGAUGUAUCUAUAACUAAAAUAAGUCUAGAUACAUCCAUUUCUAGGACAAGUAUUUAUGGACGGAGGAAGUAUGAA